Molecule: long non-coding RNA, 791 nt
Organism: Harpia harpyja (harpy eagle)
Lineage: Eukaryota; Metazoa; Chordata; Aves; Accipitriformes; Accipitridae
Exons: 3
Source: RefSeq, a predicted model, not a curated record
AAAAAAAAAAGGUUUUCAAACCAAAGAUCCACGAGAUGCUGGCUCAUCUUCCCCCCAAAUGUAGUUUCUUCGGCGUUUCGUGAAUAAGCAGAGACCAGAAAGAAAAAGAGAAGCACUAUCGUUGCCAUGCAGAAAUGAAGUCUUUGAAAUACAGAUAAAACAUGCAAGGCUUAAGAAGAUCAGAGAACUUUAGACUGAAACCAAGACGACUCUGAGCACCAUGACAAUCAGGCGGGAAAGGGAAAGAGGAGAGCAGAGGAAAGAGGAAGAAGAGAAAAAGAAAGUAGAGAAAGACAAAAGAAAAGCCUACCUGCUUUCAAGAUGGAUUUCAAUAAGAUAGUAUAAAACAUUGCACCUGCAAUGGCAGGGACUGCACCCAGUGACUGUUCCAUCCCGCAAAAUCCUUGCUUCCAAAAGCCGUUAGGUGAUGAGAUUUAUAUUCUCCAUUCGUCAUCCACGUACUGAGUGACACUGUUGUAUUAUUUUAGCUUGGUAUUUUCUGAUAAGGCACCCUUUAGAAACAUCUGGGCUUUAAAACAGAUUUCUUAUACUCACUUUAAUAGGACUUUUAACAGCGCAAUAGUCUUCUGUGUAAAAAAUACCUGUCGCUCCUUCUCAAAUACUUCCUCCUUCUCUGCACCUACCUGCUUACUGCUGCCCGAGUCACAGCAGCAGCUCCGCUGCUGUAGUUUUACUGGUAAAUCCCCUCCUCAAUAUCAUUGAUCUGAACCAGUCAGAAAUUCUAAUGGUCAAAAGUAGAGGAUUUUCAUUAGGGUUAGGAGUUUUUUCUA